RNAcentral lists this ribosomal RNA (184 nucleotides) under uncultured soil bacterium. RNAcentral's name for it is "partial 16S ribosomal RNA". It matches the Rfam family "Bacterial small subunit ribosomal RNA", at positions 329 to 505 of the family's 1533-position model. The record is from RNAcentral.
GUCAAGACUCCUACGGGAGGCAGCAGUGGGGAAUUUUGGACAAUGGGCGAAAGCCUGAUCCAGCAAUGCCGCGUGAGUGAAGAAGGCCUUCGGGUUGUAAAGCUCUUUUGUCAGGGAAGAAACGGUUUGGGCUAAUAUCCUGAGCUAAUGACGGUACCUGAAGAAUAAGGACCGGCUAACUACG